This 492-nucleotide ribosomal RNA is filed under the name uncultured bacterium. RNAcentral's name for it is "partial 16S ribosomal RNA". It matches the Rfam family "Bacterial small subunit ribosomal RNA", at positions 29 to 507 of the family's 1533-position model. The record is from RNAcentral.
AGCGAACGCUGGCGGUAGGCCUAACACAUGCAAGUCGAACGGCAGCACAGUAAGAGCUUGCUCUUACGGGUGGCGAGUGGCGGACGGGUGAGGAAUACAUCGGAAUCUACUUUUUCGUGGGGGAUAACGUAGGGAAACUUACGCUAAUACCGCAUACGACCUACGGGUGAAAGCAGGGGAUCUUCGGACCUUGCGCGAUUGAAUGAGCCGAUGUCGGAUUAGCUAGUUGGCGGGGUAAAGGUCCACCAAGGCGACGAUCCGUAGCUGGUCUGAGAGGAUGAUCAGCCACACUGGAACUGAGACACGGUCCAGACUCCUACGGGAGGCAGCAGUGGGGAAUAUUGGACAAUGGGCGCAAGCCUGAUCCAGCCAUACCGCGUGGGUGAAGAAGGCCUUCGGGUUGUAAAGCCCUUUUGUUGGGAAAGAAAAGCAGCAGGUUAAUACCCCGCUGUUCUGACGGUACCCAAAGAAUAAGCACCGGCUAACUUCGUG